Molecule: small RNA, 265 nt
Filed under: Pan troglodytes (chimpanzee)
Lineage: Eukaryota; Metazoa; Chordata; Mammalia; Primates; Hominidae
Description: retained intron
Source: RNAcentral
CACAAACGAGGAAAUGAUGGCAGAGUUAGUUUAAUAAAACAGAGGGAAUCUACGUUAGGUAUCAUGUAUCGGAGUGAACUGCUUUCUUUUAUCAAAAAAUUACGAGUAAGUUUUAUUAAAAAUUGCUCUAAUUACUAUUGCUGGUUUUUGUAGAAUAUGACUAAAAAUUAUUGGGUACUUCAAAUACUGACUAAAUUAUUAUUUGUUUUUUAAUUUUUUUUUAAGGGACAGGGUCUUGAUCUGUCACCCAAGCUGGAGUGCUGAG